This 374-nucleotide ribosomal RNA is filed under the name uncultured bacterium. RNAcentral describes it as "bacterial SSU rRNA". It matches the Rfam family "Bacterial small subunit ribosomal RNA", at positions 521 to 896 of the family's 1533-position model. The record is from RNAcentral.
UAAUACGAAGGGGGCUAGCGUUGUUCGGAAUGACUGGGCGUAAAGGGCGCGUAGGCGGCGAUUUUAGUCAGGCGUGAAAGCCCUGGGCUUAACCUAGGAACUGCGUUUGAUACUGGAUCGCUUGAGUGUGGGAGAGGAUGGUGGAAUUCCCAGUGUAGAGGUGAAAUUCGUAGAUAUUGGGAAGAACACCGGUGGCGAAGGCGGCCAUCUGGACCAUUACUGACGCUGAGGCGCGAAAGCGUGGGGAGCAAACAGGAUUAGAUACCCUGGUAGUCCACGCUGUAAACGAUGUGUGCUAGACGUUGGGGGGUUGCCCUCCGGUGUCGCAGCUAACGCUUUAAGCACACCGCCUGGGGAGUACGGUCGCAAGAUUA